This 1917-nucleotide unclassified non-coding RNA is filed under the name Limnonectes bannaensis (large-headed frog). RNAcentral describes it as "partial contains 12S ribosomal RNA, tRNA-Val, and 16S ribosomal RNA; may also contain tRNA-Phe". It matches the Rfam family "Bacterial large subunit ribosomal RNA", at positions 15 to 2568 of the family's 2925-position model. Lineage: Eukaryota; Metazoa; Chordata; Amphibia; Anura; Dicroglossidae. The record is from RNAcentral.
CUAACAAACGCCCGGGUAUUACGAGCCUCAGCUUAAAACCCAAAGGACUUGACGGUGUCCCAUCCAACUAGAGGAGCCUGUUCUAUAAUCGAUAACCCCCGAUACACCUAACCCCUCCUUGCCAAUCAGCCUGUAUACCUCCGUCGCAAACUUACCAUAUGAAUGCCAAUAGUAGGUUAAAUGGUUAUAUCACCAACACGUCAGGUCAAGGUGCAGCUCAUGAUAGGGAAAGCAAUGGGCUACAAUUUCUAAAAUAGAACACACGGAAUGCUGCAUGAAACACAGCCGCGAAGGCGGAUUUAGUAGUAAAAAGAAAAUAAAGUGUCCUUUUUAAUAAGGCCCUGGGACGUGUACACACCGCCCGUCACCCUCUUCAACAGCACACAAUAUGUUCCUAACAACUCUUGCACCUUAGAAGAGGCAAGUCGUAACAUGGUAAGUGUACCGGAAGGUGCACUUGGAUUUACAAAGUAUAGUUUAACAAAACCUCCCGCUUACACCGAGAAUAUAUCUGUGAGAAUCAGAUUACUUUGAGCCUAAAAUUAAGCCUAACCCACCCCCAUGAAAACCACUUCCAACUAAACAACAAUAAAACAUUUUAUCAGUUUAGUAAAGGCGAUUAAAAAACUUCCUAGCGCUUUACUUCUAGUACCGCAAGGGAAAAAUGAAAUAGUUUUGAAACAGCCAUUAAGCAACCUAUAGCAGAGACUACCCCUCGUACCUUUUGCAUCAUGGUUUAGCCAGUCUUUUUCAAGCAAAGCGAAACAUCAGUUUGACCCCCCGAAACUAAGCGAGCUACUUCAAAACAGCUCAAUGGAGCCAACCCGUCUCUGUCGCAAAAGAGUGGGACGAUUUUUAAGUAGAGGUGAAAAGCCUACCGAGCUUAGAGAUAGCUGGUUAUUCAAGAAAAGAAUUUUAGUUCUACCUUAAGUUUCUGUAUUAACCCUAUAAACCACUCAAACUUAAGAGCUAUUCAAAUGAGGCACAGCUUAUUUGAAAAAGGAUACAACCUAUAAAAAAGGGUAAAACCCCCCCCCCAAAAAAAAUAAGUGGGCCUAAAAGCAGCCACCUUUAAGAAAGCGUUAAAGCUUCUUUUUUCCAAAAAAUCUAAUACCAAAACACACCUUUAACCCUUUAUUCCUACUGAAUGAUUCUAUACUCCUAUAGAAGCCCCAAUGCUAAAACUAGUAACAAGAAAUUGACUUUCUCCAAAAUACAAGCAUAGACCAAAAUGGACUAACCAUUGGUUAUUAACGUCAAUUAAUCAAUAUAGCAACUAUAUCAAGAAAACACUAUUAGUUAUUACGUUAACCUUACACAAGUGUAUUUCCGGAAAGAUUUAAAGAGGGGGAAGGAACUCGGCAAAUAAUAACCUCGCCUGUUUACCAAAAACAUCGCCUCUUGAUAAAAUAUAGGAGGUCCAGCCUGCCCAGUGAUAUAAUUAAACGGCCGCGGUACCCUGACCGUGCAAAGGUAGCAUAAUCACUUGUUCUCUAAAUAGGGACUCGUAUCAACGGCAUCACGAGGGUUAUACUGUCUCCCCCCUCUAAUCAGUGAAACUGACCUCCCCGUGAAGAGGCGGGGAUAUUUAUACAAGACGAGAAGACCCCAUGGAGCUUUAAACCCAAUAACAACCUCCACCAAAGUACCCUAAAAAUGAAGAGGCACUGUUUAUUGGUUUUAGGUUGGGGUGACCACGGAGAAAAACUAAACCUCCAUGACGAAUGGACCUUAAGCCUAAUCUAAGAGCCACUACUCCAAGAAUCAUUAAUUUGACAUAAUUUGAUCCGGCAACCGAUCAACGAACCAAGUUACCCUGGGGAUAACAGCGCAAUCCAUUUCAAGAGCCCCUAUCGACAAAUGGGUUUACGACCUCGAUGUUGGAUCAGGGUAUCCCAGUGGUGCAGCCGCUACUAA